This 1284-nucleotide ribosomal RNA is filed under the name Lecanicillium sp. KACC 44066. RNAcentral describes it as "LSU rRNA". It matches the Rfam family "Eukaryotic large subunit ribosomal RNA", at positions 94 to 1410 of the family's 3401-position model. Lineage: Eukaryota; Fungi; Ascomycota; Sordariomycetes; Hypocreales; Cordycipitaceae. The record is from RNAcentral. RNAcentral also lists the same sequence under 2 other names.
UGAAGCGGCAACAGCUCAAAUUUGAAAUCUGGCCCUUGGGUCCGAGUUGUAAUUUGUAGAGGAUGCUUUUGGCGAGGUGCCUUCCGAGUUCCCUGGAACGGGACGCCAUAGAGGGUGAGAGCCCCGUCUGGUCGGACACCGAGCCUCUGUAAAGCUCCUUCGACGAGUCGAGUAGUUUGGGAAUGCUGCUCAAAAUGGGAGGUAUAUGUCUUCUAAAGCUAAAUAUUGGCCAGAGACCGAUAGCGCACAAGUAGAGUGAUCGAAAGAUGAAAAGCACUUUGAAAAGAGGGUUAAAAAGUACGUGAAAUUGUUGAAAGGGAAGCGCCUAUGACCAGACUUGGGCCCGGUGAAUCAUCCAGCGUUCUCGCUGGUGCACUUUGCCGGGCACAGGCCAGCAUCAGUUUGGCGCGGGGGAAAAAGGUUUUGGGAAUGUGGCUCCCUCGGGAGUGUUAUAGCCCAUUGCGUAAUACCCUGCGCCGGACUGAGGUACGCGCAUUGCAAGGAUGCUGGCGUAAUGGUCAUCAGCGACCCGUCUUGAAACACGGACCAAGGAGUCGUCUUCGUAUGCGAGUGUUCGGGUGUCAAACCCCUACGCGUAAUGAAAGUGAACGCAGGUGAGAGCUUCGGCGCAUCAUCGACCGAUCCUGAUGUUCUCGGAUGGAUUUGAGUAAGAGCAUACGGGGCCGGACCCGAAAGAAGGUGAACUAUGCCUGUAUAGGGUGAAGCCAGAGGAAACUCUGGUGGAGGCUCGCAGCGGUUCUGACGUGCGAAUCGAUCGUCAAAUAUGGGCAUGGGGGCGAAAGACUAAUCGAACCUUCUAGUAGCUGGUUUCCGCCGAAGUUUCCCUCAGGAUAGCAGUGUUGAACUCAGUUUUAUGAGGUAAAGCGAAUGAUUAGGGACUCGGGGGCGCUAUAUUGCCUUCAUCCAUUCUCAAACUUUAAAUAUGUAAGAAGCCCUUGUUACUUAAUUGAACGUGGGCAUUCGAAUGUAUCAACACUAGUGGGCCAUUUUUGGUAAGCAGAACUGGCGAUGCGGGAUGAACCGAACGCGAGGUUAAGGUGCCGGAGUGGACGCUCAUCAGACACCACAAAAGGUGUUAGUACAUCUUGACAGCAGGACGGUGGCCAUGGAAGUCGGAAUCCGCUAAGGACUGUGUAACAACUCACCUGCCGAAUGUACUAGCCCUGAAAAUGGAUGGCGCUCAAGCGUCCCACCCAUACCUCGCCCUCAGGGUAGAAACGAAGCCCUGAGGAGUAGGCGGACGUGGAGGUCAGUGACGAAGCC